GAGAUACUAGUAAAACUAUUACACUACCUUGUCAAGGUAGAAUUGCGGGUUAAACUCCCACGUAUUUUA
RNAcentral lists this transfer RNA (69 nucleotides) under Rachycentron canadum (cobia). RNAcentral describes it as "tRNA-Asp". It matches the Rfam family "tRNA". From Rfam's summary of the family: Transfer RNA (tRNA) molecules are approximately 80 nucleotides in length. Their secondary structure includes four short double-helical elements and three loops (D, anti-codon, and T loops). The record is from RNAcentral. Lineage: Eukaryota; Metazoa; Chordata; Actinopteri; Carangiformes; Rachycentridae.